RNAcentral lists this ribosomal RNA (439 nucleotides) under uncultured bacterium. RNAcentral describes it as "partial 16S ribosomal RNA". It matches the Rfam family "Bacterial small subunit ribosomal RNA", at positions 339 to 795 of the family's 1533-position model. The record is from RNAcentral.
CUACGGGUGGCACCAGUGAGGAAUCUUGCACAAUGGAGGAAACUCUGAUGCAGCGAUGCCGCGUGAGUGAAGAAGGCCCUUGGGUUGUAAAGCUCUUUUGUCGGGAAAGAUAAUGACUGUACCCGAAGAAUAAGGUCCGGCUAACUUCGUGCCAGCAGCCGCGGUAAUACGAAGGGACCUAGCGUAAUUCGGAAUUACUGGGCGUAAAGCGCGCGUAGGCGGUUAAGUAAGUUAAUUGUGAAAGCCCAAAGCUCAACUUUGGAAUUGCAAUUAAAACUACUUAGCUAGAGUUUAUCAGAGGAAAGCGGAAUACAUAGUGUAGAGGUGAAAUUCGUAGAUAUUAUGUAGAACACCAGUUGCGAAGGCGGCUUUCUGGGAUAACACUGACGCUGAGGUGCGAAAGUAUGGGUAGCGAAGAGGACUAGAUACCCCCGUAGUC